GCACUUGAUUUUAGGGGUUUUAGUUGUUAGGACAUUGUUUCUUCUAGAUUUGACUUCUGAUGCUGUGAAGAACACGGGAUUAGAGUUCAGAUUUCUGCUGCUGAUUCAUGGCGAGAAAGAGAUGAAGAACUGAAGAUUAAAUAGGGAUUUCUUCUGGUGAUUGAGUUACAGAGAUGGGUUCAAUUGAUUUUAGGGGUUUGAACUGAUUUGGAUUGAGCAACUGAUGAUGAUUUAGGGUUUGUAGAAGAUGGAUUUAUGCUCGAUUUGUGAGAAGAAUAAUUGGCAGUUUAUGUUUGCAAUUGGGUCAUUCUCAGAUUUCGGUUAAAUCUUAAACCCUGGCUUCUAUUUCUUGAAUUUUGUUUUGAGAUUUUUUUUGUUUAAUUGUGUGUAUUGGUUAUCUGUUGAUCCAACCCUUGAGCAGUGGGAGAAAAUCAGGCAAUGAGAUCGCAAGGGUGGCUACCUUUCUUUUACAGUGCUUAUCAGGUAUACUCAAGCUUACCUGGAUUCCAACCAAAUUAGUAUUGUUAAGCCUGAUUGUGAAUUUUAUAGUAAAUUAGUGACUAUGUGACUAUUUAUGUCAUUAUAAUCAUGUGGUUCACUGACAUAGAAUACUUAAACAUCUUUAAGGGUUUCGCAAGUGGAUGUGCAGGGAAUCUCUUUGAGGAAUCUUUAGCAUUCAAUAGAUGUGGAGUGGGAUUGUUUAUGAUGGUUAGCUUAUGUAUUAUCAGAAUCAUCGGGGUUUGAUUCAAUAUAACUUCUUGAAAUAGCUUCUUAAAAUUUCUUGAUUCAAUGUAACUACUUAAUCUAUGUGCUUAUCGUUUUUUAGUGAUGCUCACUUUUCUGGUUAACAAAAUCGGGGAGCUGCUGCAGAACAUGGAGAUUGUUUCUACACAUACUGACAUUCCUGAUAUAAGAACUAGGAUCACUAAGCUAGCAAAGUGGUUUGGAUGUUGCAUCCUUUUGAGUUUCAUUUGUUAUUAUCUCUAUCAUGUUUGAGUGACUAACUUCGCUGAAUGUCUGGGUUUUGACCAUAAGCUAACCAAUAAGAUUUGGUAAACUCGACUUCUUCAUGUGCAACCUAAUCGCCACGCUGUUCUUAGUGCUUCAGAAUCACGACCAGAUUUGGUAAACUCGACUUCUUUUUUGUGAUUAUCGUUUUUUUUUGUUCAAGAAGGUGAGAUGGAUAUUUUGUGAAGGAUUCAAAAUCAUUAAGAUGUCAGUGACUUUGAUGGUUUUAUACAUUAGGCCUGGCCGUAUCAUUAUCUCAUUUUGUGUGUCAAGGCCUUGUACUGCCUGGGAUCAAGUGAGUGUAGUGAAUUUUUUAACAUCAUUGAACAAUCUCUUCUUAACUUUACUCAGAUCAUUUUUUGUGUAUUUGUUGAAUGUCAACCCCAAGUAGAUCUCCUCCAGCGUGUAAAUUUUCUUGUUCGCGAUAUGGAUCAAGGAUUUUGGAGUAAUGGAGGGUUUUUAGUUCAUACAGGCAGGCAAUUAGCAUCACAUAAAGAUGCCUGAUAUCCAAAUGCCUAGUGACAAGACUCUUGGCGGAGGAGAUGAUGCAUUCAACACUUCUUUCAGUGAAACUGGUGUUGGAAAGUGAGGAAAGAAGGCUCUGACUGAAGGUGAGCAAAGAACUUGAAUCCAUAUGUACAACAGACGAAUGUCUUAGAAUGACCUUUUUCAUAAAACCCUCAGGUGCCCUAUACUGCUGCAUCACUCGCACCGGAGGUUCAGAAUGCGAUCCCAGCAUGACUU
Molecule: long non-coding RNA, 1752 nt
Organism: Papaver somniferum (opium poppy)
Lineage: Eukaryota; Viridiplantae; Streptophyta; Magnoliopsida; Ranunculales; Papaveraceae
Exons: 3
Source: RefSeq, a predicted model, not a curated record